Motacilla alba alba is the source of this 1099-nucleotide long non-coding RNA. RefSeq lists it as uncharacterized. The record is from RefSeq and is a predicted model, not a curated record. The transcript has 3 exons. Lineage: Eukaryota; Metazoa; Chordata; Aves; Passeriformes; Motacillidae.
CCCGGUGCUUGCACAGAGGCAGGAAAGGGAACCUGGAGCUCUGCUUGUCUGCAGCCAGCAGAAGGAUGGAGAGGCAGAAACCACGGGGCACUGACUGGAGCACUUGCUUGGCAGCAGGAUGCCGAGUGCCUCGGCCAGGAUAAGCAGAUGUUUGAAUUUCCCCAAAGCUGAAAGAAGCUGUGGGAAUACAGCCUGGGUGGCACCAUGGGACAGCUGAGUGACAACACAGGAUUGUGUGUCUCCAGGUCACUGAAGGACUGGCUCUGAGAGCAGAUCAGGAUGUGGCUGCAUGGACCGACCAAAGAAGGAAACCGUUAUGAGUAGUAAUAAUAAUAAUAAUAAUAAUAAUGUUAUAUAAAAAUAUCAGAAAUUGUAAUAAAAUUAUGCCUGUUCUAGUAAAGGGAAGAUCUGGUUUGUAUCUCCCUUCCCAGUCAGGAGAAAUAUUAAAUUUAACAAUUUUAGAUGGGUAUUUAGUUUUUUUAAGAGAAUUUAAAUGCUAUCCAUGGUGCUGGUACAGGGGUGGAGAGGUUCCCCAAAUAUCUGGUGAGGGAUCUGGUGCCAUGAGUGGGAACUGAUGGAUCAGAGGGGAUGGGCAAGCACAGAGACCCUGCUUUGGUAGUCACUAGUCUGAAAAUCCCAUGAAAAACUAAUGAGAAUUUGGGAUUUUCCAAAAUUGGAACAACUUUUGCCUGAAAAUCUCACUGAAAUGAGGUUUGAUUUAAAACCCCAUGAAAGAGUUCAAUUAGUUAAGGGUUUCACCAUGGCCUGGGAUUCACUGUUGAGAUUUUUUAAGCCCUUCAGACAUAUAGGUCUUCAAUAUUUCCAUUUUUGAUGGAUUUGCAAAGCAGCAAACCCAUUGUUGCUACCUGUGCAGGCAGGAGCCUUGAUAAACUCCCUUCAAGCUCUUGUCAUGCAAAAGGUUCUGAGCACAAGGAGGAACAUUGCAUAUCUCUGCCUGCCAAAAGGAUCCUUGGCAAGCUGUGCCUGAGCAAUUCUGAUUUGUUUCCAUUUAAUUAAUGAACACUUUCCUGCUUUGUGAUUAUUGUCCUUGCCUGAAGUUGUUCCCAUUAUAGAGAUGAAUAAAUAGUUCUUGACAUUA